UACGAAGGGUGCAAACGUUGCUCGGAAUUAUUGGGCGUAAAGCGCACGUAGGCGGCUUUGCAAGUCCCAUGUGAAAUCCCACGGCUCAACCGUGGAAGUGCAUGGGAAACUGCAGAGCUUGAGUACUUAAGAGGAUCGCGGAAUUCCCGGUGUAGAGGUGAAAUUCGUAGAUAUCGGGAGGAACACCAGUGGCGAAGGCGGGUCUCUGGGCCGAUACUGACGCUGAGGAGCGAAAGCGUGGGGAGCGAACAGG
This 253-nucleotide ribosomal RNA is filed under the name uncultured bacterium. RNAcentral describes it as "partial 16S ribosomal RNA". It matches the Rfam family "Bacterial small subunit ribosomal RNA", at positions 524 to 776 of the family's 1533-position model. The record is from RNAcentral.